UACGGAGGAUGCAAGCGUUAUCCGGAUUCAUUGGGUUUAAAGGGUGCGCAGGCGGGAUGUUAAGUCGGCGGUGAAAUUUUGCAGCUCAACUGUAAAAGUGCCUUCGAAACUGGUUUCCUUGAGUGUAGAUGAAGUAGGCGGAAUUUGUGGUGUAGCGGUGAAAUGCAUAGAUAUCACGAGGAACUCCGAUUGCGCAGGCAGCUUACUAAACUACUACUGACGCUCAGGCACGAAGGCGUGGGGAUCAAACAGGAUUAGAUACCCCGGUA
This 269-nucleotide ribosomal RNA is filed under the name uncultured prokaryote. RNAcentral describes it as "partial 16S ribosomal RNA". It matches the Rfam family "Bacterial small subunit ribosomal RNA", at positions 524 to 792 of the family's 1533-position model. The record is from RNAcentral.